GUCCUCCUGAUCUCCGUGAUCCUCUCCCGGCGGCUCCGUUUCCAGGCACUAGACAGAAGGGCUCCACGGGCUCCAGGCAGCUCGCAUCUUCCUGCAACCAUUAAAGCAAUCCUAAAAGGCGAAUUACUCAGAACUAAAAGGAACUGUUCUGUUGAGAAGAUAUACCUAACACGUGAGAAACAGCUGCUGACGUUUCCAGUUACCAUGCAGGAAGACAGGUAGGAGGAGAUCAUUAUAUGUAUUCUGGCAAAGAGAUUUGCAGAGUGCUGGGUGACCGGCAAAGAGAUCUGCAAAGUGUCAGCAAGACGACGGGAGGGGUCGCAGAGGUAGCAAGGACUGGAGUACAACAUGCAGGAGAUCAUCAUUUGGCAAAAGUUCUGGCAAAGAGAUUUGCAGAGUGUCGGGUUACCGGCAAAGAGAUCUGCAAAGUGUCAGUUGAAGACGACGGGAGGGGUCGCAGAGGCAGCAAGGACUGGAGGAUAGCAUGCAGGAGUGGGUGAUCCCUGAAUAACUGCCCUGGGUGGAGAGCCUGCGGACUCCUGCUCCAAAUGUUGGGACAUAUGCAUUACCUAUUAGGAAAUGUGGUAAAGAUGCCAGCGGUCGGGUUUACGGCAGUCAGAAUACUGACACUGGGAUCCCGACACUCUUCAGAAUCCCAAUGUUGGAACUCCGAGUGUACACGGAUACUGAUGCCUCUAUCCCCACGAUCUUAGGUUUAGGGAGGGGGUUAGGUUUAGGCAUCAGGCA
Molecule: long non-coding RNA, 747 nt
Organism: Pseudophryne corroboree (corroboree frog)
Lineage: Eukaryota; Metazoa; Chordata; Amphibia; Anura; Myobatrachidae
Exons: 6
Source: RefSeq, a predicted model, not a curated record